This 253-nucleotide ribosomal RNA is filed under the name uncultured bacterium. RNAcentral's name for it is "partial 16S ribosomal RNA". It matches the Rfam family "Bacterial small subunit ribosomal RNA", at positions 524 to 776 of the family's 1533-position model. The record is from RNAcentral.
UACGAAGGGGGCUAGCGUUGCUCGGAAUCACUGGGCGUAAAGGGUGCGUAGGCGGGUCUUUAAGUUGGGGGUGAAAUCCCGGGGCUCAACUCCGGAAUUGCCUUUGAAACUGGGGAUCUUGAGUUCGGGAGAGGUGAGUGGAACUCCGAGUGUAGAGGUGAAAUGCGUAGAUAUUCGGAGGAACACCAGUGGCGAAGGCGGCUCACUGGGCCGAUACUGACGCUGAGGCACGAAAGCGUGGGGAGCAAACAGG